AUGAACGCUGGCGACGUGGAUAAGGCAUGCAAGUCGAGUGGGUUUAGACCCACGGCAAACGAGGUAGUAACACGUAGGUACGUACCCGGAAGUCACGCAUAACCGGCCGAAAGGUCGGAUAAUACGUGAUGGUCUCGUAAGAGUAAAGAUUUAUCGCUUCCGGAGCGGCCUGCGGGAUAUCAGCUAGUUGGUAGGGUAAUGGCCUACCAAGGCGAUGACGUCUAGGGGAGGUGAGAGCCUGACCCCCACCGAUGGUACUGAGAAACGGACCAUACACCUACGGGUGGCCGCAGUCGAGAAUCUUCCACAAUGGACGAAAGUCUGAUGGAGCGACGUCGCGUGAAGGAUGAAGCACUUCGGUGCGUAAACUUCUUUUAUGAGGGAAGAAGCCGGUUUACCGGUGUGACGGUACCUCAUGAAUAAGGGGUUGCUAAACUCGU
This 440-nucleotide ribosomal RNA is filed under the name uncultured bacterium. RNAcentral describes it as "partial 16S ribosomal RNA". It matches the Rfam family "Bacterial small subunit ribosomal RNA", at positions 29 to 506 of the family's 1533-position model. The record is from RNAcentral.